UUUGGACCUGAGACUCUGAGAAGAAAUAGGGAUAAAGGGAAUACCAAGGCUCAGUUUCUUGCAGCAAAGCCUUAUUUCAUAAUUGGAAUUAAUGACUUUUCCUGGAAGAAAAUCAGGCAGCGAGCAAUGAUUAUCUUAGUCCUUGGUUAGGACUCUUGCAUAUUCUGAUAAUGAGGACCAAACAACAAAACCAAUGGAGGGGGCCUGUGCAGCCAAGAAGAGAAACGUUUGUGUUCAACGUUGAGGAUUUGAAGCAGAUUUGAUUGAGAACGCCACUCCACAGGCUUCAGAUCACUACCUGGGACACUGCUAUGGUUGGAGCUGGAUAAAUCUUCUGUCCCAUCCUCUUUGUUUAAUCUGGGAUUCUGAAAUAUAUUCAUGCAUCAGAAAAGUUCUGUGGCAUAUUUUCAGUGUAACAGGCAUUUAAACACUGGCUGGAGUGGGCUACAGUUCAAGUCUGUAGAAGGUUAGAAGCUGCUGAGGAAUAAAGAAUACACUCAGCUGAAGGGCUGACAAACAAGAAAGGCCUUGCAGCUGGUGGUGGCCCGGUAUCCAGCCUGGUGUAGCAGUCUGCCACGCAGAUGAAGAGGAGGGUGGUCUAAUCCUAAGCGAGUUGAAGGCAAGCAGAGCUGGACAACAAGGAGGAUAAAAAUGGCAAGAGAGAGAGAGAGAUACUUUGAAUCCCAGAGGUUACUAAUUUCUGUCUGAACUGAAUAAAUGGCUGCAUAUAAA
Molecule: non-coding RNA, 732 nt
Organism: Cyanistes caeruleus (blue tit)
Lineage: Eukaryota; Metazoa; Chordata; Aves; Passeriformes; Paridae
Source: RefSeq, a predicted model, not a curated record